This 253-nucleotide ribosomal RNA is filed under the name uncultured bacterium. RNAcentral's name for it is "partial 16S ribosomal RNA". It matches the Rfam family "Bacterial small subunit ribosomal RNA", at positions 524 to 776 of the family's 1533-position model. The record is from RNAcentral.
UACGGAGGGUGCAAGCGUUAUCCGGAUUUACUGGGUUUAAAGGGUGCGUAGGUGGGUUGGUAAGUCAGUGGUGAAAUACUUUCGCUUAACGAAGGAACUGCCAUUGAUACUACCGGUCUUGAAUACAGUGGAGGUAGGCGGAAUGCGUCAUGUAGCGGUGAAAUGCUUAGAUAUGACGCAGAACACCAAUUGCGAAGGCAGCUUGCUACACUGUUAUUGACACUGAGGCACGAAAGCGUGGGGAUCAAACAGG